RNAcentral lists this long non-coding RNA (229 nucleotides) under Elaeis guineensis (African oil palm). RNAcentral's name for it is "long non-coding RNA (EGUI_LNC040590)". Lineage: Eukaryota; Viridiplantae; Streptophyta; Magnoliopsida; Arecales; Arecaceae. The record is from RNAcentral.
CUUAAAGAUAUUUCUACGAUAGGUUCUAGAUUUGAUCUAAUCAAGUCCGACUCUAUGGGUUUACUAGAUUGUGUCGGUUAUUCUAUCGAUCGAACUUCAUCAAGUUCAACUUUUGAGGCAUUAGUUCCUUCACCAAGAAUUUUUUUUUCUAAAAAGACUAUCCUAUUGCUGACGAACACCUUCUGUUUGUCAGCAAGAUAGAAGUAAUAUUCCUUGGUCUCUUUUGGGU